CUCUGGGGCCCUUCUCCUCUGUUCUCCUCAGUGGCCCUCAGGCUGGGCAGGUUUGAUUUUCCAGCAGUGACAGUUAUCUUCUUGAUGAACAGAGUUUCCAGAGUUCAGAUCCAGGGUCAUCUCUGGAGGAGGAAUGUCAAGGAUUGUGGCCCUGUGGGUCCUCCCUGUACAGGUGAAUGACAGCAAGUUUCCCAGGGAAGUGCUGUAUGUAAGCUGCAAGCAAUGUAGCACGGAGGGCAGAUGGCCUGGAUUGUCCUUUGUGGGGAGCCACAUUGAGCCCAGUUCCCCUGGAGUGACCCUGAGUGUUUUAGUCCUGAGAAAUGCGACAGUCCUUUACCAACUCCCCUCCUGCCCCUAUCCCUCCAAGUACAAGUCCACAGUGACACAAUGUGCUGCUGCUCAGAUUUUCAAGUCAAGACAAAGUGUCAUCAGUUAACUUCAAAGGAAAAAUCUUUUGGAAAAGAAUUUCAAGCAAUGACUCAGAAAGUUUCCCUAAGAGGCAAUCCAGAGGCAUCUAAGUCUCAACAGGCUUUUAGGACCAAGGCAGGAGCAGAACAUUCAUGUAAAAAAAAAUCAUAGGAAUGGGCAGAAGGAAGUUCUUUUCCCAAAAGAAAGGUUCCAGGCAAAUGGCCAGCACCCCUGAAAACCAACACAGCAGGGAAAGACCAGAAAUACAACAAAUUGGAAUGUGUGUUUCUGGGUGCAGAGGCAUCAGAGGGAUGGGCCAGGACAAAACACUGGUGGAUAGAGGGUAGGUAGCCAAGGUGUUCCGUGGGAACCAGGCCUGAGUGGUCAGGUGGCCGGUCCCAAUGGGUCAAAGCCUAUGGAUAUCAUGUGUGUGGGAACUUUUUCAGCAAAAACUCACACCUUUUUUGACUUCAGAAAAUUCAUACUAGAG
Molecule: long non-coding RNA, 898 nt
Filed under: Urocitellus parryii (Arctic ground squirrel)
Lineage: Eukaryota; Metazoa; Chordata; Mammalia; Rodentia; Sciuridae
Description: lncRNA (ENSUPAG00010023569.1)
Source: RNAcentral